ACACAGGUUUUUGUCACAGCACUUUUCACUGUGGGGGGCAGCAAGAUCUUUGGCUCAGGCACCAGACUGUAUGUAACAGAUCGUCCAGUUGUGCCGCCCAAAGUGAGCAUCUACCCAGCGACCAGAGCUGAUCCAGAGGUGAAGAGCUCCCUGCUGUGUCUGGCCACAUCCAUGUUUCCUCCUCUGGUCCAGUUCUCCUGGAGGACACAGGACAACAAGAAGAUUCCUGAGGGAGAGCGAGUGGAGCUCAGAGAGGAAGAGCACGCCGCCUCCAUCGUGCUGAUCGAUCAGGAGGAGCUCAUCACAUAUCAAUACAUCUGCUCCGUCAAACACCAAGGGGGCACGGUGGAGGCCAAGAUACCACCAGAGCUUCCAGCAUCUGCAGCCGAGCUGCCAGCCGGGGAGCAAAGUGAGGAUGUGAUCGCUCUGUAA
This is a non-coding RNA of Myripristis murdjan (pinecone soldierfish), 432 nucleotides long. The record is from the annotation of a RefSeq genome assembly. Lineage: Eukaryota; Metazoa; Chordata; Actinopteri; Holocentriformes; Holocentridae.